GUAGGUGGCAAGCGUUGUCCGGAAUUAUUGGGCGUAAAGCGCGCGCAGGCGGUUCUUUAAGUCUGAUGUGAAAGCCCACGGCUCAACCGUGGAGGGUCAUUGGAAACUGGAGAACUUGAGUACAGAAGAGGAAAGCGGUAUUCCACGUGUAGCGGUGAAAUGCGUAGAGAUGUGGAGGAACACCAGUGGCGAAGGCGGCUUUCUGGUCUGUAACUGACGCUGAGGCGCGAAAGCGUGGGGAGCAAACAGGGAUUAGAUACCCUGGUAGUCCACGCCGUAAACGAUGAGUGCUAAGUGUUAGGGGGUUUCCGCCCCCUUAGUGCUGCAGCUAACGCAUUAAGCACUCCGCCUGGGGAGUACGGCCGCAAGGCUG
This 373-nucleotide ribosomal RNA is filed under the name uncultured organism. RNAcentral describes it as "partial 16S ribosomal RNA". It matches the Rfam family "Bacterial small subunit ribosomal RNA", at positions 527 to 896 of the family's 1533-position model. The record is from RNAcentral.